UUUUGUAUACUAACUCUGAUUAAUGAAAGCUUCCUAUUUCACUUAUAUAACUUUGUACUAGUAGUUUGGAGUUGGAUUGUAUAAUUAUUUCUGGGGCGUUACAAUAUCUCCAUCUUUGUCACUUAUUUAUGAUGUUCUCGAUUUAGAUUAGAGGCAAAGGAUAAAAUGUUAUGGACAUGGGAAUUUAAUGGUCAAUAUUGUGUAGCUUCAUUUGUAAUCAUCAUCAGGCUUCUUAUGGUCUCUCAAGAAUGGAAGGAAGUUGUAGACAUUAUCCUAGUGGAACAAUGCACCAGGUAAAGGCCUAUAAGGAGAUAAAGGAGUACUUAAUUAACAACGUCAUUACUUGCAUAGAUCAGGAAUAAGGGUAUUAAAAAAACCAAAGAGUAAUUCAUUGACUAUUUGGAACUGUUGCUCAUAGUGCACUUUUGAAAUUACUAAAGGCUUUUAAGGUUUGAAGCACUUGCAAAAGGAAUUAAACAAACUACGAUUACAAGAAUAGAAGCACCAAUGGAUAUGUUUACAUGUUGGGAGGUAUGAUGAAACAUGAAGCUCUUCAGAGAGCUUUGUAGCAAAACUCAAAGCUGAUGUGAGAAAAUCAGCAUUUUUAGCAUUUUUUUAAAAAAUUUUAAAAUCAAAUGGGAUUGGUGUUUUAACCGUCAUUGAAGAUAGAAGAUAAUGCAUCGUGAUGAAUUAUUUGAAGCAGUUGUAAUAUUUUUUAUUUGAAAUAUUUUUGAGUGAGUUAGAUAUUGUUUUUAUUGUAUUGUGUCAGUGUUAUGAACGUUAUAGUUGUAUUAUACAAAUGAAAUUAUAGAUUU
Molecule: non-coding RNA, 815 nt
Organism: Camellia sinensis
Lineage: Eukaryota; Viridiplantae; Streptophyta; Magnoliopsida; Ericales; Theaceae
Source: RefSeq, a predicted model, not a curated record